Molecule: non-coding RNA, 904 nt
Organism: Camellia sinensis
Lineage: Eukaryota; Viridiplantae; Streptophyta; Magnoliopsida; Ericales; Theaceae
Source: RefSeq, a predicted model, not a curated record
AUGUUAGCCCAAUCUUAUCAUAUGAGCUAAGGCAACCUUAUCAAAUCCUGAAAAAUAACUGGACUGGGCUAGGCAGACCAACAGGUAGACGAAGAGGCAAGCCACAUCAACGGCGGCCGCCGCCGUAACCUCCAUCACCACCGUCCUAGACAAGAGAGAAAACGAAGCUGACAAAGGAGGAUGACCAUCGAUCAAAGACCAGCUGGAGCUAUCGUAUCUCUCCAUCUCGACGGAGCUCUCGCUCUUAUCCUACCCACUAUCCAACUUCAGCUUUGAAGAUUAGACUUGUAGGUGAAGUAGAAACUAAAUAUCUUCAGCAAUUUCGGAGUACACACUCUUCAGCAAUUUCGGAGUACACACUCACUCGAGCUAGAGGUGCUAAAAAUUUAUUUCAAAGUCUGAAUACUCCAAAUGUAACAACAGAUGAUACUCCCGAAGACCCCAAUGACAAUGCCAUGCCACCAGGUCAACAACUUCAAUACUGAACUGAUUUUUUGACUACAGAACAAGAUCGACACAAUCAACGUGUUCAAUGGGAACAACACGUGGCUGAUCAGUUUGAUGCAUUUGCCACCGCUUAGAACUCGUUAAUUCAACAAUUUGUUGAGUUUCGUGUGGACACUGAAAUACGUCAUGAGGUUACAAGCAAUCUCAUUGAUCAAAUUGAGCAUCGAGUCAAUGAGAUCUACCAUCACUACUUCCCUCCACCACCACCUGACAAUGACCUUUGACGAGUUUGGAUAAGAGAUUGGAUGUAUUACAAAUCUAUGUGCUUUUUGGUUGUUAUGGAUGUACUAUUACUUUCCAUUUUUUCAUUUUUGUGUUUUUUGUACUACUUUUAUUUGUUUUUUUUAUUUUUAUUUUUAUGGAUAUACUAGUGGUUGGUCUUUUUAUAUUUUUGUUA